GCGAACGGGUGAGUAACACGUGAGCAACCUACCUUACACAGAGGGAUAGCCGUUGGAAACGACGAUUAAUACCGCAUGAGACCACAGAAUCGCAUGAUAUAGGGGUCAAAGAUUUAUCGGUGUAAGAAGGGCUCGCGUCUGAUUAGCUAGUUGGAAGGGUAAAGGCCUACCAAGGCGACGAUCAGUAGCCGGUCUGAGAGGAUGAACGGCCACAUUGGAACUGAGACACGGUCCAAACUCCUACGGGAGGCAGCAGUGGGGAAUAUUGCACAAUGGGGGGAACCCUGAUGCAGCGACGCCGCGUGAGCGAAGAAGGUUUUCGAAUCGUAAAGCUCUGUCCUAUGAGAAGAUAAUGACGGUAUCAUAGGAGGAAGCCCCGGCUAAAUACGUGCCAGCAGCCGCGGUAAUACGUAUAGGGCGAGCGUUGUCCGGAAUUAUUGGGCGUAAAGGGUACGUAGGCGGUUUUUUAAGUCAGGUGUGAAAGCGUGAGGCUUAACCUCAUUAAGCACUUGAAACUGGAAGACUUGAGUGAAGGAGAGGAAAGUGGAAUUCCUAGUGUAGCGGUGAAAUGCGUAG
This 576-nucleotide ribosomal RNA is filed under the name uncultured Clostridium sp. RNAcentral's name for it is "bacterial SSU rRNA". It matches the Rfam family "Bacterial small subunit ribosomal RNA", at positions 98 to 693 of the family's 1533-position model. Lineage: Bacteria; Bacillati; Bacillota; Clostridia; Eubacteriales; Clostridiaceae. The record is from RNAcentral.